This 253-nucleotide ribosomal RNA is filed under the name uncultured bacterium. RNAcentral describes it as "partial 16S ribosomal RNA". It matches the Rfam family "Bacterial small subunit ribosomal RNA", at positions 524 to 776 of the family's 1533-position model. The record is from RNAcentral.
UACAGAGGUCCCAAGCGUUGUUCGGAUUCACUGGGCGUAAAGGGUGCGUAGGUGGCUGGGUAAGUUCGGUGUGAAAGCUCGGAGCUCAACUCCGAAAAGGCAUUGAAUACUAUCCGGCUGGAGGUUCGGAGGGGGGACUGGAAUUCUCGGUGUAGCAGUGAAAUGCGUAGAUAUCGAGAGGAACACCAGUGGCGAAGGCGGGUCCCUGGACGACACCUGACACUGAGGCACGAAAGCUAGGGGAGCAAACAGG